This 450-nucleotide ribosomal RNA is filed under the name uncultured bacterium. Its description in RNAcentral is "bacterial SSU rRNA". It matches the Rfam family "Bacterial small subunit ribosomal RNA", at positions 29 to 524 of the family's 1533-position model. The record is from RNAcentral.
AACGAACGCUGGCGGCAUGCCUAACACAUGCAAGUCGAACGCCCUCUUCGGAGGGAGUGGCGCACGGGUGCGUAACGCGUGGGAACCUGCCCUUAGGUUCGGAAUAACUCAGAGAAAUUUGAGUUAAUACCGGAUAAUGUCUUCGGACCAAAGAUUUAUCGCCUUUGGAUGGGCCCGCGUUGGAUUAGCUAGUUGGUGGGGUAAAGGCCUACCAAGGCGACGAUCCAUAGCUGGUCUGAGAGGAUGAUCAGCCACACUGGGACUGAGACACGGCCCAGACUCCUACGGGAGGUAGCAGUGGGGAAUAUUGGACAAUGGGCGAAAGCCUGAUCCAGCAAUGCCGCGUGAGUGAUGAAGGCCUUAGGGUUGUAAAGCUCUUUUACUGGGGAUGAUAAUGACAGUACCCAGAGAAUAAGCUCCGGCUAACUCCGUGCCAGCAGCCGCGGUAAU